This is a long non-coding RNA of Calliphora vicina (urban bluebottle blowfly), 314 nucleotides long. RefSeq lists it as uncharacterized. NCBI's taxonomy places the organism in Eukaryota, Metazoa, Arthropoda, Insecta, Diptera, Calliphoridae. The transcript is spliced from 2 exons. The record is from RefSeq and is a predicted model, not a curated record.
UUUAAACGUUUAAACUGUCUUGUCAAUUUUCACCAUGAAUAUUUUAAAGAACUUCCUAUUCGUCUUGGUCAUUUUAGCCAUUUCUAUGUUUGCUACUGAUGCGGCCAAUCAAUCGAAAAUCAGUGGUGCAAAUCAACAACCCGCAGGCAAUAAGGGAAAUAAAGUCGAUGCCAAGGGAGCCACUGGCAAUAAAUCGAAUAAGCAAGGAUAAAUACAAUGAUAAAUGAAUAAAUUCAACUUUCAUUAGGUUAAAAGUCCUGAUUUUGUAUUAUGUUUCAUAAGUUUAAUAAAUAUUUAAAUUUUUUGCAUUAAUA